This 253-nucleotide ribosomal RNA is filed under the name uncultured bacterium. Its description in RNAcentral is "partial 16S ribosomal RNA". It matches the Rfam family "Bacterial small subunit ribosomal RNA", at positions 524 to 776 of the family's 1533-position model. The record is from RNAcentral.
UACGGAGGGGGCUAGCGUUAUUCGGAAUUACUGGGCGUAAAGCGUACGUAGGCGGCUUUGCAAGUUAGAGGUGAAAGCCUGGAGCUCAACUCCAGAACUGCCUUUAAAACUGCAUCGCUUGAAUCCAGGAGAGGUGAGUGGAAUUCCGAGUGUAGAGGUGAAAUUCGUAGAUAUUCGGAAGAACACCAGUGGCGAAGGCGGCUCACUGGACUGGUAUUGACGCUGAGGUACGAAAGCGUGGGGAGCAAACAGG